Molecule: ribosomal RNA, 460 nt
Filed under: uncultured Sphingobacteriales bacterium
Lineage: Bacteria; Pseudomonadati; Bacteroidota; Sphingobacteriia; Sphingobacteriales
Description: bacterial SSU rRNA
Rfam family: Bacterial small subunit ribosomal RNA
Source: RNAcentral
CCCGCACAAGCGGUGGAGCAUGUGGUUUAAUUCGAUGAUACGCGAGGAACCUUACCUGGGCUCAAAUGUAUGUUGACGUAUUCUGAAAGGGAUACUUCUUCGGACAAUAUACAAGGUGCUGCAUGGUUGUCGUCAGCUCGUGCCGUGAGGUGUCGGGUUAAGUCCCAUAACGAGCGCAACCCCUAUCAUUAGUUGCCAUCAGGUCAAGCUGGGGACUCUAAUGAAACUGCCUACGCAAGUAGUGAGGAAGGUGGGGACGACGUCAAGUCAUCAUGGCCCUUAUGUCCUGGGCUACACACGUGCUACAAUGGCCGGUACAGAGCGCAGCGAAGCCGCGAGGCAAAGCGAAUCGCAAAAAGCCGGUCUCAGUACGGAUUGGAGUCUGAAACCCGACUCCAUGAAGUUGGAAUCGCUAGUAAUCGCGCAUCAGCAUGGCGCGGUGAAUACGUUCCCGGGCCUU